GCCGGCUGGAGGAGCCGAGGUUCCGAGUGCGGCCGCUGCUGGGCUGGCGGGCGGGCAGGCAGAGCACGGCACCCUGGCAGCAGGGCCCACGCCACGGGGCCAUGGGCAGCUCGAGCCAGGCAGGCUGCAGCCCACGCUUACUGCCAGGGUGACCCCAGCCCCGGGGCCCAGCCCCAACCACCCUGGCUUCAUGCCAGGGGCUGCUCUGGCUGCCAGUCGGCCAGCCUCGGGGGUGCAGCCUGGGCUGGGACUGCUGCUGGGGUGCAGGUGAGGCACUGGCCGGGCCCUCAGGCCCCAGGGCAGGCAGGCUGCAGGGAGCCAAGUCCUCCAUGGCGGCCCCAGCUGGGAAGACGAACAGGACAGGGGCACUGCGGCCCAGGGCCCAGAAAGGCCGGGUGAGGCGGGCCGUGCGCAUCUCCAGCCUCGUGGCCCAGGAGGUCCUGUCCCUGGGCGCCGACGUGCUGCCUGAGUACAAGCUGCAGGCACCACGCAUCCACCGCUGGACCAUCCUGCAUUACAGCCCCUUCAAGGCCGUGUGGGACUGGCUCAUCCUGCUGCUGGUCAUCUACACGGCCGUCUUCACACCCUACUCGGCUGCCUUCCUGCUGAAGGAGACGGAAGAAGGCCCGCCUGCUACCGAGUGUGGCUACGCCUGCCAGCCGCUGGCUGUGGUGGACCUCAUCGUGGACAUCAUGUUCAUUGUGGACAUCCUCAUCAACUUCCGCACCACCUACGUCAAUGCCAACGAGGAGGUGGUCAGCCACCCCGGCCGCAUCGCCGUCCACUACUUCAAGGGUUGGUUCCUCAUCGACAUGGUGGCCGCCAUCCCCUUCGACCUGCUCAUCUUCGGCUCUGGCUCUGAGGAGCUGAUCGGGCUGCUGAAGACUGCGAGGCUGCUGCGGCUGGUGCGCGUGGCGCGGAAGCUGGAUCGCUACUCAGAGUACGGCGCGGCUGUGCUGUUCUUGCUCAUGUGCACCUUUGCACUCAUCGCGCACUGGCUGGCCUGCAUCUGGUACGCCAUCGGCAACAUGGAGCAGCCGCACAUGGACUCGCGCAUCGGCUGGCUGCACAACCUGGGCGACCAGAUAGGCAAGCCUUACAACAGCAGCGGCCUGGGCGGCCCCUCCAUCAAGGACAAGUACGUGACGGCGCUCUACUUCACCUUCAGCAGCCUCACCAGCGUGGGCUUCGGCAAUGUCUCUCCCAACACCAACUCAGAGAAGAUCUUCUCCAUCUGCGUCAUGCUCAUUGGCUGUGAGUGUGCCCAGGGGCGGGUGGCGGGGAGAGCCCACGGUGGAGGAACCCAAGUUGGAGGAAACUGAGGCUGCUAGCCCGGCCAGAGUGAGGCCCCUGGGACUUAGAGACUCCAGGGGCCACCAUCGUGACAUGGUUUGGGGGCUGGGUCACCAGGGCGGGGACUACUGAAGGGUGGGGUGUGCUGGAGCGCAGAUGUACAAGGACGUCUCGUGGGCAUGUCGACGCUGAGACUGAGACACUGACCUGGUGCGGGGCCUGAGCAGGGUCCCUGUGGGUGGGUGGGGUCCCUGCAGAGGCUGAUGGCCCCACGUGCCCACGCCCCCAGCCCUCAUGUACGCUAGCAUCUUCGGCAACGUGUCGGCCAUCAUCCAGCGGCUGUACUCGGGCACAGCCCGCUACCACACACAGAUGCUGCGGGUGCGGGAGUUCAUCCGCUUCCACCAGAUCCCCAAUCCCCUGCGCCAGCGCCUCGAGGAGUACUUCCAGCACGCCUGGUCCUAUACCAAUGGCAUCGACAUGAACGCGGUGCUGAAGGGCUUCCCUGAGUGCCUGCAGGCUGACAUCUGCCUGCACCUGAACCGCUCACUGCUGCAGCACUGCAAACCCUUCCGAGGGGCCACCAAGGGCUGCCUUCGGGCCCUGGCCAUGAAGUUCAAGACCACACAUGCACCGCCAGGGGACACACUGGUGCAUGCUGGGGACCUGCUCACCGCCCUGUACUUCAUCUCCCGGGGCUCCAUCGAGAUCCUGCGGGGCGACGUCGUCGUGGCCAUCCUGGGUAUGGGGUGGGGGGCGGGCACUGGACUGGAAAUGCCCUCUGCAGCCUCAAGAGGUGCGAGCCUUCUGAAUAUGCAGUCACUGGGGCUGUGGACCUGGGACUGCCUGCAGGGUCACUGGGCUCCUUUAAUUCACCUAAACUCAGGCCCUCCAAGCGGGGCCAUGGAGAGGAGCCCCACGUGGGGUGGGGCUGCUGAACUCUGGGGUUCCCACAUUCUCCUUCCCUUCAGGAUCCGCCACAAACAGAUACUUUUUGCUUCGUUAAAGUAGGAUCAAAUCUAGAUCCUCCAGCCUGGGCAGUAGAGGAAGAAAUGCUAGCCUGGAAGCUCGGCAUUUGGUUUCACUAAGGGCCAUGUGGUUCCCUGCAGCCUCAUGCCUGGCCCCUUGACAUAUCCAAAGCAAAGGGAGUCCUGCCCCCUCCCCCCACUUCCUUUGUACCUUGCCUGUGCACAGUGGGUGGGUUGGUGUGUCUGGACACUGAGGACUUCCUCCCCUCUGCCUGUUCUUCCCUCGGCCCUGUGUGCCUCAGGGCAGAUAUAGCAAACUCUUUCAACCAUAGUUGAUAGUAGGACAUUUUAGAUUUUGUUUCUUAGCUCUGUACAAACACAAAUACACACCCCCACACAACUAAAAUCAAAGUUUCACUACAUAACACUGGGCCUUACUGCAUGUGGUUCGUUCUAGCAUUUCUGUUCUGUGCUGUGCUAAGCUAUACUACUGUAUGUUCUUUCAGUAAAAAAAAA
RNAcentral lists this small RNA (2777 nucleotides) under Pongo abelii (Sumatran orangutan). RNAcentral describes it as "retained intron". Lineage: Eukaryota; Metazoa; Chordata; Mammalia; Primates; Hominidae. The record is from RNAcentral.